Engraulis encrasicolus (European anchovy) is the source of this 571-nucleotide long non-coding RNA. RefSeq lists it as uncharacterized. The transcript has 2 exons. NCBI's taxonomy places the organism in Eukaryota, Metazoa, Chordata, Actinopteri, Clupeiformes, Engraulidae. The record is from RefSeq and is a predicted model, not a curated record.
GGAGGAAGAAUUCAAAGACGGCAACGUCUCCAAAAGGCCACGCGAGCCAACGCCAUCGACGACACCGAGGGAUUUGAAAAAGACAUUGCCAAACCCACCGACUCCAAGUGCCAACUCAGAUGAUGGCAGGCACUGACAAGGAGCUGGGCAUAACAAGACCAAGUGGAGCUCACCAUGUGGACAUGACAAGACAUCCUCACCUUGGUGGACACACUGCAAGAGGCAGAACUUUUUAAACAGAAACCAGGUCGCACAUCUACUGCAUUCCCCGGCUUCCGAAAUGACUUGUUGGCAAAGCUCGAUCACAAGGCACUGUGGACGUGGAUGAGCAGCAAACUGAAUGAAUGGUGCAGUGUCCUUUGAGUUAUUUGUACUGUUUGUCUAGCCAGGUAACACCCAUGCUGCCUUACAGGCGACCGUCAAUGUUGGUACGGCGUCUUCAAAAAGGUGAAUGCCAAAAUUAUUAAAAUAAGUUUUACUUAAUUACUUUCCUAUUUUCUUGCUUUGAAAUAGUUUGUUAUUCUUGUUUGUUAUUCUAAGUCAUUGUCCUUCAUUAAAAUCAUUUCCUUUA